AUUUCGGGUUCUUUGGGCUAGAAACCAGUUUUUGAUCGACUUAGAGUUCCAGUUUGAGUUCAGGGCCCUCUGUGAAGUUAAAGUAGACAUCUCAAGCUUUUCAGAAAGUUUGCUCUAGUUUGGGUUAUGUGCUGUCCCACGAAGGUGCUUAUUUGGUUUUUGUUGGGUGUUGUUUUUACGCUGAUGGAGGGUUGGUUUCCUUGGCUUAUGUUUGUGCAUUCUUU
This is a long non-coding RNA of Pistacia vera, 224 nucleotides long. RefSeq lists it as uncharacterized. The transcript is spliced from 3 exons. The record is from RefSeq and is a predicted model, not a curated record. Lineage: Eukaryota; Viridiplantae; Streptophyta; Magnoliopsida; Sapindales; Anacardiaceae.